RNAcentral lists this long non-coding RNA (270 nucleotides) under Anser brachyrhynchus (Pink-footed goose). RNAcentral's name for it is "lncRNA (ENSABRG00000012727.1)". Lineage: Eukaryota; Metazoa; Chordata; Aves; Anseriformes; Anatidae. The record is from RNAcentral.
UAGCUGCCAGCCGGGUUAAACCACAACAGUAACGGACAGGAGGCAAAGGACAGCUCACGUCUGCAUUUUAGUUUCCUAUUUGGGGAACGCUAACAGAGAUAAUGGAAAAGCUGACUGGAUUCACAAAAAAUAUAGAGAGAAGAACCAGAGGAGACUUCUGAGAACAGUAAAUUUUGUGCAGUUAGGGCUGGAUACAAGUGUCCACUGGUAAGCAGUUAUCGCUUAUUUAAAUAUAUUAUGUUGUCCUCUCAGGAUAAAAGGAUAGGCAGA